Long non-coding RNA from Pan troglodytes (chimpanzee), 5625 nucleotides. RefSeq lists it as uncharacterized. NCBI's taxonomy places the organism in Eukaryota, Metazoa, Chordata, Mammalia, Primates, Hominidae. The transcript is spliced from 2 exons. The record is from RefSeq and is a predicted model, not a curated record.
AGAUGCAAAGUCCUGGGCAGGAACAUCCAAUUGGCUUUGCCCCUAAGGGAGUGGGGAAAGGAAGUCUCUGGCUCCAUCAUUUCCAAGAAUUACAUAGUACGGAUUCCAUCAAAAUAGAUGCUGUGCAGCCAGGGAAAGGACAAAUGUUCAUUCACACUGCUUAUGAUAAUUUAUAAAAGUAUUAUGGUAAUAAAGGGGUAGAAUUUCAGCCAAGGAUUUCAGAAAUGUUUUUAAGGGCAGCAAAAGAGCUCUGCCCAUGAGUUACCUCCACUGAUCAACUCAAAUAACAAACACCACUCAGGCCUACCCUUGACUUUCUUAGAUCUUGAAGUAGAUAUCUUUGUCAAGAUUGCUACUUGCCUAGGGCACAGCAUUGUCUCAUUAGAAAUCCUCAGCUCUAAAGACGUGGGUGUGCCCACCUUCAUACACCCAUUUGACAUAAGACAUGACUGAAUUUCAGAGGUGUUUUGCCCUACAAUCACUUACUAGAGACAUAACUGAUUAUUAUAGAAUACCAACAGAUUUGGAGCAAUUAAUUUCUUCUACCUUAUUUACUCUAACUUAAGCAAAACAUGAUUAGUAAAAGUAUUUUAAGAUAUGUAUUUCCUCUAGAAAAUAUUUCACAUUUUUUUCUCAUAAAAUGAAUCAUAGUGAUUUGAAAGUCCCAGAUGGAUAAAUAGGAAACUUGUUACAGCUGAAAUUGAAUUCAUUCAUUAUAAAUCAGAUUGGAUAAUGCUAUUCAAAGCUUCAUAUUUCACCUGGAAAGAAAUCUAAUUAACAAGAUUGCUUUUUACAAAUUAAUUUCCUGACCUAUUUUCUUAUAGAGUUGAAACUAAACUCAAAUAUAUUUGUUCUAAUUACUUAAUACUUAUAUUCGAGCUUGAAACUCUUAUAUUUGGGAUUCUAUAUGCCGUGAUAACACACAUAAAUCCAAGUGAAUUUUACAAUUAAAAUUAGAAAUACUGAGAGUAGCUUUGAGGAACAUGUAUUAUCAUGCCAAACGCAAUAUUUGGGCUUAUCUUCCUCCCAAUUCUAAUUGUUUAAGGGAACUUUUGUGUGAUGUUUUGAUUAAGAAGUCCUUGAGGGAAACAAGUAUCUUCAUAAGGAAAUUCAAGGUGUUAAAACCAACAAAAACCUUCAUAAAUGAUGCAAAGCAAGGCUUCCUGAAUGUGUUAGCUGGAGAGCAACACUUCUAUAUAAAGCUUCUAUUUCAUCCCUGCUAAAGUGAAGAUAAAAUUCCCUUUGAGAUAAUUAUGAAGUCUGCAAAAUUUGUGUUCUUCUCAGAUGCAAUGCAUGCUAAGACCUCAGCUCUUGCUUGGCCAAUUAAGGGUUGCAUUUACUGGGAAUGCCUGCAGUACUCUCAGCAGUGUGGUUUUGCAAGUUUGGGCAGAAUUCAGGGGUUCAUUGGUGGUUGGCCAGAGCACAGAGGGAGGGUUUCUGUGUGGUAGUUCAAUUUAGGAACCAGGAAAGACAUAUACCAAAGUGUCCAUUAUGCUAGUAAUAAGCCAGGCAUGGCUGGCAGCCAUGAGGAAGCAGAUUUGGUAGGAGCUAGUCAGGGCUCCAUGACACUACUCAACACAGGGGCUCAGGGUGGAGCCACUUGGAGAAAAGAUGGCAAUUGGGGUCUACACCCAGACCUGGGAGACACUGAGGGUCUAGGGAGCUUAACUGGAUUCCAAGCCCUCAUUAUACUUCUUAUUUCAUUCAGUAGCACCAGAGGCAAGACUGAGCCUACGAGCUGUUUUUUGGGGUGUAUGUCAGAAGGCCUAGGAUUAUGGAUCUAGGAAAACAGGCAGUGGAAAUAAAGUUAAGAUUUGCCCCUCUUCCAGUGCCCUUUAUUGACUCGGGGCCACCUGUGCUACUUUCUUCUUAGUUUCUUCACCUCCCUCCCCAUGUGAAAAUACUGAUUUGGUAUUGCUAUUUAUUUUGAUGAUUAACUGAUAUGUACUGAGCAUUUUAUAGGCUUGCCUACCCACAGCUCAUUUUGAAGACCCCCUACUUCUAGCCCAAGCUAAGACAGCUGUCAACGGUAGACAUCUGAAAGCCACUAACCAGGACCUCUGAUGGAACACUGCUACAAAAGACCCUGCCCCUAAAUACACAUUUCUAGCUAAGUUUUCUUCUCUUAGGAACUGAAACUGAAAGACAGACGUAAGUGGAUAAUUGAUGGGGCACUGGAACUGCAAAGUCAUGUCAAGUCAGUCUGGGGCAGCCAUUUUGGGACAUGAAGAGCUGAAGCUAUGGAAGAGUAGAAAUUGUGAGCAAGGACAAGAUAAUUAGUAGGAAAUGUACAGAAUAGAGGCACAAGAAGUCUCAUUUUUGUGGCUAUCUACUGUCCAGCCCCAGAGUCCUGGAUGUCUGGCCCAGCUGUAUUGGGGUUCCUGUACUUGGGUUUCUGUGUGAGAUUCCUGCUCACAAACUGCUUGAAAUGCCUUGAGGAAAAUAUCAUUCCCUGUAACAAAAUGAUCCCCAGUCUACAAGAAAACUAUUUACUCAACUAACCAUUGUAUUUUUAAUCUUUGUGUUCAGUUGCAGCAAAGAUGUUUUAUUCACUGAAGGCAGAAGACAGAAUCAUAAAAUCAUCCAGGCCUAUUUUUAAAGCUGGCCCUACAGAUAAAACUGAUUUUCUCCUUGGGUGGAUGAAUUAUGGCGGGUAAAGAGCAGAAGAUUGUGUGUGUGUGUGUGUGUGUGUGUGUGUAUUACAAUGUAUAUAUUUUGCUGCUGGCUUGCCCUCUGUUCAAGUAUGCACGGGCAUGUGUGUGCACCUGCUGUAAGCCUACUUCUGUCGCUGCUGGCUGAUCUUGCCAUGGGCCCAUCCAUCCACAGGAUUUGCAACACACUCAGCUCUGGCUCCGUGCCUCCAUUUCUCACACCCACCUUCAUUUUUACCUAAUACUUGCCCUUUUUUUCCUCUGCCCUAAGACCCCCUAGAUCUAUAUUUUGUGCUUUCUGAUCCAUUAAUCUUAAGUACCCUAAUGAAGCUUCUAUCCCAUAAGUCGCUUAUCUCUCUGGAGAAUAUUAGCCCAAAUCUUAUAGUUGACCCUUAAAUGACAUGGAUUUGAACUGCACAGCUCUACUCAUGCAGAAAUUUUUUUCAAACAGAUAAAAAACACAGUAUUCAUGGGAUGCGAAACAUGCAUAUACAAAGGCCCAACUUUCUCAUACCCAGGGGUUCCACAGAACUGACUUUGGGGACUUAAAAAUGUAUGGAUUUUGGUAUGUGCAGGACAGGGUUGUAGGGUCCUGGAACCCAUCCCCCAUGUAUACAAGGGACAAAUGUGUAUUAUUUGACCUAAGAUAAUGACUUUCUGAUACAGAUUGCUGGAAUUUUCUUUCAUUAACAGUGCCAUAUCUGAAUGAUGGAUCACAGAUUUUGAAAACAGCCCUACUGUAUUUCUACUCACUCAUGCAAUAUCCCAGAAUCAAACGGUGUUUGAUAAAUGCCAUUUACCUCUGAAGGGCUUCUUUCCCCAGCAGGAAGUCAGGCUUUCCUCUUGGGCACUACUAUAGUAUCCUGCUAAGACAUCAUAAUGUGCUGCAAUUACUUGUUUUCAUGUUUAUUUCCUUUGAGACUGAGCUCUUUUAGAAUCUUUUAUAGAUUCAGUGCACAGUACUGCGACUAAAUAUGGAUUAUAAUAGGACCUUCCUUUUGUGGUUCUUAGAAUUAAAUUAAGUGCAUGUAAAGCAUCUGCAGUGUUGUAGAUGUCCAAUAAACAUCAGCUGCUAUUGUUAAUAGUAUUAAUUUAAUAAAACUUGUGCCCUUACACCCAGGUUUCUGUCUUGGCUAUCCCUGUGGAUGGUAUGUCAUGCAGAGACAGGGAACAUAGAUGAAAUUUAGGGGCUGGAGCAAAAUAAUGAGCUCAUUUCUGGAUACUGGCUUCAGUGCUUGUGAAGACAUCUGGCCACGAAGCUGGUAUUGCCUUUGACUUAAAAAAACAUACACACCUAGCUGGGACUCAAUACAUGUUGACUAAAUGAAAAAAUGCUCAUUCAAUAAAUCAUUAAUUCAUCCAGGUUCUUGGCCCUGACUUAAUCAAUUUAAAUAAUUUUAAGGGAAGGGAAUCAAAGCAAACAAUGUUUACUUUAAAAUGUAUGCACCAUUAGCACUACUAGGAGUGUCACAAUACCCCAAAACUGGAAAACACUGAUCCAUGUUUCAAAAUCCUCAAAUUAAGUACUGAUUUGGUAUUUUCUAAUAUGGGACUUUAAGGCCCUGUAUGAAUUACCGAUGUUCACUGGGUAGCAAUCAAUUUUGAAUUUAUUGCUCAAACUUUCAAGCUGACCACGAAUGUUCCCUAAGAACAAGAUGUCUUGAUUUCCUGAUUAACUCUUCUUGCCCAUGAUAACCCUUAAGUCUCUCCCCCUCCUUUUCUCUAAAAAUAUGAUGAUGAAUGGGGAAUAUAAAAGAACAGAAUGCAUAGCAACCUGCUUUCUCUGGGUCCAUCAAAGAGAAGGGUCAAAACAGUGACCAAGUGGCAAGACUUAAUAACAAGGCAUUUGAUAUAACUUUUCUUACCUGAAGGGCUACUGUAAAUCCUUUGUAUUUACUUAUGUUUCCUUAUCUCUGUAAGUAACCCUUUCCUGUUGCCACCAUCCUUAUUUUCUUCCUCAGGAUUCUACCCUAACAACCUCAGUCCUUAAAACAUACUUGUGCAUUUUAUUCUGUAAGAUUUUUACUCAUAAAGUUGCAUUUCAAAAUGAUCAAAACCAUGCUCCCAUUUCUAGAUGAGUAAAAGACUUGAUUAUAGAAAACAGCUCAGGUCUUUAACCAGUCAGGUUCUAUUGUGUGAAAGUCACUGAAACAUCACUAUGGAAACCACAGCUUGUAGCAGGAGGUAGUGCCAGUGACUCAGCAGGUGGAACAACUUCAAGGCAGUACUACCAAAUGCCCUGACAAGAUGCCAGGCAAACAUCUUACUACAGUCCAUUCAUUUUUUAGGUGGUAUUUAAACUGGGCUAAGGUACACUCAGAUUUUAGAUGAGCCAAAACAUGAGCAGGAAAAGCAGAAAAAGAGAAGAUCAGAGUGAAGUGGUGAAAGGGAAAGGUAAAAAAAAAUGGAAGACAAAGAGGAUGAGUAUCUGUUGUGGUCCUUCAGGGAAAAGGGCUACUGAUCACAUGACCAACCUCUACCUUCUAAGAGAUGUACAUGGAACCAUGGAGGAGUUGCUCCCAAAACCUGCAAGAGACAGAUCUAUGUGGUGCAAAAAGGUGGACGGUGGCAGAUCUAGAAAUGUGCUGCUUAGAAUUUCUUCAAAAGAACUCACUACAGGAAGCCCAGCUGACUGGCAGUCCUAGAUGCCACCCCUCUGGAUUCACCACUACAUUAGCUGCAAGGCCCCAGGGCUGCUCCCCGCCUUGGACAGCACAGUGAUGAUAUGAGUGCAAGCACAACACAAACUCCUCUGGCUGGCAACUUUGGCCUAAGGACUCCCCAUCAGCCUGGCCCAACCUUCUGUAGGACUGCACCAACAGUCUGAGAUUUCUCCUACCCAAUCCUCCUUCCUUCCAUCUCUUACCACAGGUGUUAGGUUUAUGGAAGUCUGAAGGCUCUUCCUGCCUACUCCUACUCCCUCCGCUUUGUCCUACACAAGUGAGUUCCUCCAAUAAAUCUCUUGCAUGUCUAA